This 379-nucleotide ribosomal RNA is filed under the name uncultured eukaryote. Its description in RNAcentral is "partial 18S ribosomal RNA". It matches the Rfam family "Eukaryotic small subunit ribosomal RNA", at positions 592 to 976 of the family's 1831-position model. The record is from RNAcentral.
CAAUAGCGUAUAUUUAAGUUGUUGCAGUUAAAAAGCUCGUAGUUGGAUUUCGGAUGGGAUUUGCCGGUCCGUCGUUACGAUGUGCACUGGCCAGUCCUAUCUUGUUGUCGGGGACUAGCUCCUUGGAUUCACUUCCUGGGACUAGGAGCUGACGAGGUUACUUUGAGUAAAUUAGAGUGUUCAAAGCAAGCCUACGCUCUGAAUACAUUAGCAUGGAAUAACACGAUAGGACUCUGGCUUAUCUUGUUGGUCUGUGAGACCAGAGUAAUGAUUAAGAGGGACAGUCGGGGACAUUCGUAUUUCAUUGUCAGAGGUGAAAUUCUUGGAUUUAUGAAAGACGAACUUCUGCGAAAGCAUUUGCCAAGGAUGUUUNCAUUGA